Molecule: transfer RNA, 72 nt
Organism: Camelus ferus (Wild Bactrian camel)
Lineage: Eukaryota; Metazoa; Chordata; Mammalia; Artiodactyla; Camelidae
Rfam family: tRNA
About the family: Transfer RNA (tRNA) molecules are approximately 80 nucleotides in length.
Source: Rfam
GAGGAUAUAGUUCAGUGGGAGAGCACAUGCUUAUCAUAUGAGAAGUCCUGGGUUCAAUCCCCAGUACCUCCA